This 467-nucleotide ribosomal RNA is filed under the name uncultured bacterium. RNAcentral's name for it is "partial 16S ribosomal RNA". It matches the Rfam family "Bacterial small subunit ribosomal RNA", at positions 29 to 507 of the family's 1533-position model. The record is from RNAcentral.
ACGAACGCUGGCGGCGUGCUUAACACAUGCAAGUCGCACGGAAAGGCCCUGCUUUUGUGGGGUGCUCGAGUGGCGAACGGGUGAGUAACACGUGAGUAACCUGCCCUUGACUUUGGGAUAACUUCAGGAAACUGGGGCUAAUACCGGAUAGGAGCUCCUGCUUCAUGGUGUGGGUUGGAAAGUUUCGGCGGUUGGGGAUGGACUCGCGGCUUAUCAGCUUGUUGGUGGGGUAGUGGCUUACCAAGGCUUUGACGGGUAGCCGGCCUGAGAGGGUGACCGGCCACAUUGGGACUGAGAUACGGCCCAGACUCCUACGGGAGGCAGCAGUGGGGAAUAUUGCACAAUGGGCGGAAGCCUGAUGCAGCAACGCCGCGUGCGGGAUGACGGCCUUCGGGUUGUAAACCGCUUUCGCCUGUGACGAAGCGUGAGUGACGGUAAUGGGUAAAGAAGCACCGGCUAACUACGUG